This 1532-nucleotide ribosomal RNA is filed under the name uncultured bacterium. Its description in RNAcentral is "bacterial SSU rRNA". It matches the Rfam family "Bacterial small subunit ribosomal RNA". The record is from RNAcentral.
AGAGUUUGAUCCUGGCUCAGAACGAACGCUGGCGGCGUGCUUAACACAUGCAAGUCGUACGAGAAACCGGAACUUCGGUUCUGGGAGUAAAGUGGCGCACGGGUGAGUAACGCGUAGGUAAUCUACCCUUGGGUUUGGAAUAACCCGCCGAAAGGCGGACUAAUACCGGAUAAAAUCUUUCGGAGGGAUCUGAAAGAUCAAAGGUGGCCUCUCCAUGGAUGCUACUGCCUGAGGAUGAGCCUGCGUCCCAUUAGCUUGUUGGUAGGGUAAUGGCCUACCAAGGCUACGAUGGGUAGCUGGUCUGAGAGGAUGAUCAGUCACACUGGAACUGGAACACGGUCCAGACUCCUACGGGAGGCAGCAGUGAGGAAUAUUGCGCAAUGGGGGAAACCCUGACGCAGCGACGCCGCGUGGGUGAAGAAGGCCUUCGGGUCGUAAAGCCCUGUCUAGAGGGAAGAAAUUCUCAAUGGAAUAAUACCCAUUGAGAUUGACGGUACCUCUGGAGGAAGCACCGGCUAACUCCGUGCCAGCAGCCGCGGUAAUACGGAGGGUGCGAGCGUUGUUCGGAAUUACUGGGCGUAAAGCGGGUGUAGGCGGUUUGUUAAGUCAGAUGUGAAAGCCCACGGCUCAACCGUGGAAGUGCAUCUGAAACUGGCUGACUUGAGUACCGGAGAGGGAAGUGGAAUUCCUGGUGUAGGGGUGAAAUCCGUAGAUAUCAGGAGGAACACCGGUGGCGAAGGCGACUUCCUGGACGGAUACUGACGCUGAGAUCCGAAAGCGUGGGGAGCAAACAGGAUUAGAUACCCUGGUAGUCCACGCCCUAAACGAUGGGCACUAGGUGCAGGGGGUGUUGACCCCUCCUGUGCCGCAGCUAACGCAUUAAGUGCCCCGCCUGGGGAGUACGGUCGCAAGAUUGAAACUCAAAGGAAUUGACGGGGGCCCGCACAAGCGGAGGAACAUGUGGUUUAAUUCGAUGAUACGCGAGGAACCUUACCUGGGCUUAAAUGCAGAACGACGUACCGGGAAACUGGUAUUCCCUUCGGGGCGAACUGCAAGGUGCUGCAUGGCUGUCGUCAGCUCGUGCCGUGAGGUGUCGGGUUAAGUCCCAUAACGAGCGCAACCCCUAUCGUUAGUUGCCAGCGGAUAAUGCCGGGGACUCUAACGAAACUGCCAGUGUAAACUGUGAGAAAGGUGGGGAUGACGUCAAGUCAGCACGGCCCUUAUGUCCAGGGCUACACACGUGUUACAAUGGCUGGUACAGCGAGGAGCAAUACCGCGAGGUGGAGCAAAUCUCUCAAAACCAGUCUCAGUUCGGAUUGCAGUCUGCAACUCGACUGCAUGAAGUCGGAAUCGCCAGUAAUCACGGAUCAGCAUGCCGUGGUGAAUACGUUCCCGGGCCUUGUACACACCGCCCGUCACGCCAUGGAAGUCGGUAGCACCCGAAGCCAGUGGCCUAAUCCCGACACUUGUGUCGGGAAAGGAGCUGUCGAAGGUGAGAUCGAUGACUGGGGCGAAGUCGUAACAAGGUAACC